UACGAAGGGUGCUAGCGUUGUUCGGAAUCACUGGGCGUAAAGAGCGCGUAGGCGGCUUUUCAAGUCAGGGGUGAAAUCCUGGGGCUCAACCCCAGAAUUGCCUCUGAAACUGGGAAGCUUGAGUGUCGGAGGGGAUAGCGGAAUUCCUAAUGUAGAGGUGAAAUUCGUAGAUAUUAGGAGGAACACCGGUGGCGAAGGCGGCUAUCUGGACGACAACUGACGCUGAGGCGCGAAAGCGUGGGGAUCAAACAGG
This 253-nucleotide unclassified non-coding RNA is filed under the name uncultured Rickettsiales bacterium. Its description in RNAcentral is "contains 16S-23S intergenic spacer region". It matches the Rfam family "Bacterial small subunit ribosomal RNA", at positions 524 to 776 of the family's 1533-position model. Lineage: Bacteria; Pseudomonadati; Pseudomonadota; Alphaproteobacteria; Rickettsiales. The record is from RNAcentral.